Molecule: transfer RNA, 85 nt
Filed under: Zestomonas carbonaria
Lineage: Bacteria; Pseudomonadati; Pseudomonadota; Gammaproteobacteria; Pseudomonadales; Pseudomonadaceae
Description: Pseudomonas sp. Wesi-4 tRNA-Ala
Source: RNAcentral
CGCCAACUGGGGAAGGUCGCCUCGACCUGCGGGGCGAGCAGGCCGAGGUCGCGCAGCGGCGAGUUUUCCAGCAGGUCGUUGGCGU